CUUUUUGCUUUGUAACGUUGUACGUUAUAUUUUGAAUAUUUAAAAAUACUAGACUUGCUAUAUCUCGGCCGCGCGCCGCGAGCCGUGAGCCGUUGACGGGUGACGGAAACCGGUUCGGCGAACUAUCCCUCCUAUGAGGCGACGCGAGCAGAGCCGGCGGUCAAUCGCGAGACGGGCACUAGCACGACGCCGCGAGCCGAUACAGUCUACUACUACUACUGGUCUAUGUACAUUUUUAACUCGCGAUUUUAUUGCAAAUAAUUUAAUCUUUAAUAAACUAUUGUGCUUUUAAAAUAACUUUUAAAGUCAGUGUAUACCCCAGAUCGGGGUUCAAGUACCUGACUACCUCCAGUGCACCUACCGUAGUGCACCUACCCUAAGUGCACCUACCUACGCACCUGUCUACCUACGUGCCUGUGUCUACCUACGUGCCUGUGUCUACCUACGUGCCGCGCCUAUCUACGUGUCCUGCAUCUACCUGCGCGUCCGGCAUCUACUAGCGCGCUGCACACUUACCCCGCCUGACCGCUGCCGAGCUGCCUGACUAUACAGGGGUUCAAGUACCUGACUACCUCCAGUGCACCUACCGUAGUGCACCUACCCUAAGUGCACCUACCUACGCACCUGUCUACCUACGUGCCUGUGUCUACCUACGUGCCUGUGUCUACCUACGUGCCGCGCCUAUCUACGUGUCCUGCAUCUACCUGCGCGUCCGGCAUCUACUAGCGCGCUGCACACUUACCCCGCCUGACCGCUGCCGAGCUGCCUGACUAUACAGGGUAGUAGUGUUCUUUAGCGGGCCAGAACUUAACGCGAGCUCGAUUAUUCUAAACCCACUCCCAGCUCUGCCGAUCUUUUUGUGUAAUAUAGACUAUACAAAUUUUCUAAAUUACUCUUUUUAUUUUUCUACCUAUUAGUCUACCUACCACUAACCUAAACG
Helicoverpa armigera (cotton bollworm) is the source of this 940-nucleotide long non-coding RNA. RefSeq lists it as uncharacterized. NCBI's taxonomy places the organism in Eukaryota, Metazoa, Arthropoda, Insecta, Lepidoptera, Noctuidae. The record is from RefSeq and is a predicted model, not a curated record. The transcript is spliced from 3 exons.